Molecule: ribosomal RNA, 492 nt
Filed under: uncultured bacterium
Lineage: Bacteria
Description: partial 16S ribosomal RNA
Rfam family: Bacterial small subunit ribosomal RNA
Source: RNAcentral
AGUGAACGCUGGCGGCAGGCCUAACACAUGCAAGUCGAACGGCAGCACAGUAAGAGCUUGCUCCUACGGGUGGCGAGUGGCGGACGGGUGAGGAAUACAUCGGCAUCUACUUUUUCUUGGGGGAUAACGUAGGGAAACUUACGCUAAUACCGCAUAUGAUCUACGGGUGAAAGCAGGGGAUCUUCGCACCUUGCGCGACUGAAUGAGCCGAUGUCGGAUUAGCUAGUUGGCGGGGUAAAGGCCCACCAAGGCGACGAUCCGUAGCUGGUCUGAGAGGAUGAUCAGCCACACUGGAACUGAGACACGGUCCAGACUCCUACGGGAGGCAGCAGUGGGGAAUAUUGGACAAUGGGCGAAAGCCUGAUCCAGCCAUGCCGCGUGGGUGAAGAAGGCCUUCGGGUUGUAAAGCCCUUUUAUUGGGGAAGAAAAGCAGCGGAUUAAUACCCCGCUGUUCUGACGGUACCCAAAGAGUAAGCACCGGCUAACUUCGUG